UGUCUUUACAUUACCAAUCCAAUCCCCGCUCCCAGAUACGCUCAUAAAAAUAUUCUUCGUAAUUUGACUUAAAACAACACAGGUGCUACACUAGAAAUGAAAGCCGUCCAAUAAAAACACAACGCGUAUGUCGCUCCUCAAUCCGCAUAACCCCGAUUGUGUUACAGUGGAAGCAGGAGAAGCAGGGAGUAAGUGUCGAUCUGGUCCGGCUCUAGAGUUUCUGGUGUCAGAACAUUAUCUGCUCCGUGUCUGCACAUUCUCAAGGACAAAAUCUGCCAGGCGGAGAGUAAGCCAAUGAGACCGAAGCAUGGUGAGCCUAGUUUACUUUCUCUCUCCCUUCCCUCUGGACAGCCACCGCAGCCUGGGGGCAGGAGUGCAGCUGGGGUGAAGCAGAGAGAGGCCCCGGGCAGCGAUAAUAACCCGAAAUAACAAAAACAAGUGUUUUAAGGAUGUGAAACCCAAUUCCGGGUGGGAUUGAUCCUUGUCUGGCCACAAAGGGGAUAAGACCAGAAGGAGAAGAUAAGAGAAGACGCUGAGUGGUCAGCGAUACAGUUGAACCAUCAACUUCUACCGAAGACAGCAGAAAGUGACUGGAUUCCCUGGUCCCGCUGAAGAAAAACAUCGCCACAUUAUUAAUUCUCAAAGAAAUCCAGCGUUUUGCAUGAAUGACAGAAUGUAAAAUCUUGGUUUCACCUGACAAGAGAAUAUUUUCUUUCUAUUUUAGCUUGCUUUCAUUUAACAGUUCUCCAUGCUCUUCAAGCCUUCAGAUACUGUUUUAUAACCCAAUUAGCUUCAAACAUAUUUACAACUACAGUAAACUGAUAACCUGUGUGGUGUGCUUCUUUGUCUUUGUCUUCAUUAUACUGUUUGUAAUUAUGUCACUACUGAAAGGAAAUGGUUGCACUGGAUUUUAUUUAGGGGUAUCAAAUAAACUGAACACAAAUGC
Xiphophorus hellerii (green swordtail) is the source of this 946-nucleotide long non-coding RNA. RefSeq lists it as uncharacterized. The transcript has 3 exons. The record is from RefSeq and is a predicted model, not a curated record. Lineage: Eukaryota; Metazoa; Chordata; Actinopteri; Cyprinodontiformes; Poeciliidae.